GCUCUUGAUUGAAGUCCCAGUAAACGGCGGCCGUAACUAUAACGGUCCUAAGGUAGCGAAAUUCCUUGUCGGGUAAGUUCCGACCUGCACGAAUGGCGUAACGAUGGCCACACUGUCUCCUCCUGAGACUCAGCGAAGUUGAAGUGUUUGUGAUGAUGCAAUCUACCCGCGGCUAGACGGAAAGACCCCAUGAACCUUUACUGUAGCUUUGCAUUGGACUGUGAACCGGCCUGUGUAGGAUAGGUGGGAGGCUUUGAAGCGUGGUCGCUAGAUCACGUGGAGCCAUCCUUGAAAUACCACCCUGGUUUGUUUGCGGUUCUAACCUUGGUCCGUUAUCCGGAUCGGGGACAGUGCAUGGUGGGCAGUUUGACUGGGGCGGUCUCCUCCCAAAGUGUAACGGAGGAGUUCGAAGGUACGCUAGGUACGGUCGGAAAUCGUGCUGAUAGUGCAAUGGCAUAAGCGUGCUUGACUGUGAGACUGACAAGUCGAACAGGUGCGAAAGCAGGACAUAGUGAUCCGGUGGUUCUGAAUGGAAGGGCCAUCGCUCAACGGAUAAAAGGUACUCUGGGGAUAACAGGCUGAUACCGCCCAAGAGUUCAUAUCGACGGCGGUGUUUGGCACCUCGAUGUCGGCUCAUCUCAUCCUGGGGCUGUAGCCGGUCCCAAGGGUAUGGCUGUUCGCCAUUUAAAGAGGUACGUGAGCUGGGUUUAAAACGUCGUGAGACAGUUUGGUCCCUAUCUGCCGUGGGCGUUGGAUACUUGACGGAGCCUGCUCCUAGUACGAGAGGACCGGAGUGGACGUACCUCUGGUGUACCGGUUGUCAUGCCAAUGGCAUUGCCGGGUAGCUAAGUACGGAAGAGAUAACCGCUGAAGGCAUCUAAGCGGGAAACUCGUCUGAAGAUUAGGUAUCCCGGGGACUUGAUCCCCCUGAAGGGUCGUUCGAGACCAGGACGUUGAUAGGUCGGGUGUGGAAGCGCAGUAAUGCGUUAAGCUAACCGAUACUAAUUGCCCGUGAGGCUUGAUCCU
Molecule: ribosomal RNA, 1026 nt
Filed under: soil metagenome
Description: bacterial LSU rRNA
Rfam family: Bacterial large subunit ribosomal RNA
Source: RNAcentral